UCCUACGAGUCGCGACGAAUCGAAAAACGGCAGCAAGGAGUGAAAAUUUCGAAAAAAUUACUUUACUGCGGUAAAAACAGCACAAAAGUGAACAAAUUUUGUCGAUAGACAGCAGCAAAUUGAAAUUUGAAUCGACGAGAAGACGAAUUGUAAGCGAAAGCACCGUAUGGCAGUU
Molecule: long non-coding RNA, 175 nt
Organism: Rhagoletis zephyria (snowberry fruit fly)
Lineage: Eukaryota; Metazoa; Arthropoda; Insecta; Diptera; Tephritidae
Source: RefSeq, a predicted model, not a curated record